Molecule: ribosomal RNA, 253 nt
Filed under: uncultured bacterium
Lineage: Bacteria
Description: partial 16S ribosomal RNA
Rfam family: Bacterial small subunit ribosomal RNA
Source: RNAcentral
UACGGAGGGUGCAAGCAUUAAUCGGAUUUAUUGGGCGUAAAGGGCGUGUAGGCGGGCUGGUAAGUCGAGUGUGAAAUUCCAAAGCUCAACUUUGGAACUGCAUUUGAAACUACUAGUCUGGAGGAUUGGCGGAGAAAAUGGAAUUCCACGUGUAGCGGUGAAAUGCGUAGAUAUGUGGAAGAACACCUGUGGCGAAAGCGAUUUUCUAGCUUAUACCUGACGCUGAGGCGCGAGAGCAAGGGGAGCAAACAGG